UAAGGGUUUUUCAUCAGUAACCAGACCGAGUAGCAGCAGAAGCCGAUCAGAAGCAAGCGAAAAUGCCGUCACACAAGACAUUUAGGAUCAAGAAGAAACUAGCAAAGAAGAUGAGGCAAAACAGGCCUAUCCCUCAUUGGAUUCGCAUGAGAACCGAUAACACUAUCAGGUACAACGCCAAGCGUAGGCACUGGAGAAGAACUAAGCUUGGAUUCUAAGUUUUCUGAAGAUUCACUUGUGCAUUCAACGUUCGUCAUGCCUUGGUAUCGAAAUCCACACCAGGGGAAUCUCAUUUGCAGAGGAUUUCUGGAGUUCAAAAGGCAAACCUGUCCAUCGGUGACCUAUAAGAUCUUGAAUCAAAAUUCGUUCACAUCUCCAUAAUCAAAGCUUAGGAAAAUCUGUUCAGGACAGAUCAACCCAUUUUGGGGAAAAAGAAUUAUCCAUUGCAUCAUGAGCGGGUGUGCUCUCUUACUGGGUGGGCCGAAAAUUAGAUUCUUUUUACUCGUUGAAGACGUGGAGUUUUGGAGCAUGAAAAUUGACUAUAAAAAAAUUAUUGAUUUACAAAAAUAAAAAGCGCAAAAUAUCUCGAAUUCAAAACUAUUAAGCCCGACCAAUAAAUUAAUUUAAGAAAUCCACAACUUGAAGUCUGAAUCAUAUUAUGUUUUAAGUUAAAUUAAUAAAAAUAUUAAUCUAAUAAAACCGAAUUUUUAUUGAUCCAAUUGAAUAGAAGAGUCAGCUUUAAAGAAAAAAAAGGCGGAAAGAUACCUAUCAUUAAUCUAAUAUUGCUAGGAUUAUUCUUAUCAUUAAUUACUUUUUUAGUUAUCCUGAAUUCAAACCAUGUGUUAGUCUCACUAAAUAUAAUAAAUCAUGUCAUUUAUUUAUGAUAAAAUCGAUAUAAACAGUAUGUCUCGAUUCUCAUCAAACAAGUUAGAAUGUAUUUUUUUAUCUUGUAUAUAAAUCUCUUUAUACUUUCAAGAAUAUAAAAAAAAAAAUCAUGUGAUUUUUAUAUUUUUUGAAAUCUUAAUGUUUGAUAUGAAUAAUACAUGUUAAUUUUGUUUGUUGAA
Molecule: RNA transcript, 1064 nt
Organism: Populus trichocarpa (black cottonwood)
Lineage: Eukaryota; Viridiplantae; Streptophyta; Magnoliopsida; Malpighiales; Salicaceae
Gene name: 60S ribosomal protein L39
Exons: 5
Source: RefSeq, a predicted model, not a curated record